Erinaceus europaeus (western European hedgehog) is the source of this 208-nucleotide non-coding RNA. NCBI's taxonomy places the organism in Eukaryota, Metazoa, Chordata, Mammalia, Eulipotyphla, Erinaceidae. The record is from Rfam.
CUAGAAGAACCAAAAACAGUUCUAGACAGACCUGGGGUUUUAUAGUAGUUUUGGCAGUCAACUUCAGCCUGUGUCUGUGCAGACUGACUACAGUGGCCUGCCAGCGGGGGGCACAACAUUGAGACACCUCCCCCCCCCAGCUGCACUUAGACUCUCUCCUAAUUAGAUUGGUCUCUCCACCCCUCCCCAAUGCCUGGGAGAAGAACGG